UGUUCAUAAUAACUUCUCGAAUCGCAUGGCCUUGUGCGGAAGAUGCUUCAUUCAAAUAUCUGCCCUAUCAACUUUCGAUGGUAGGAUAGAGGCUACCAUGGUGUCAACGGGUAACGGGGAAUAAGGGUUCGAUUCCGGCAGAGGCAGCCUGAGAAACGGUACACAUCCAAGGAAGGCAGCAGGCGCGCAAUUACCCAAUCCCGACACGGGGAGGUAGUGACAAUAAAUAACCAAUAUAGGGCUCAUUUGGGUCUUAUAAUUGGAAUGAGUACAAUUUAAAUCCCUUAACGGAGGAACAAUUUGGAGGGCAACGUCUGGUGCCAGCAGCCGGGGUAAUUCCAGCUCCAAUAGCGUAUAUUACAGUUGUGCAGUUAACACAGCUCGUAGUUGAACUUCGAAACGUGGCUGGGCGGUCCGCUUCACGGUGUGUACUGUCUGGC
RNAcentral lists this ribosomal RNA (440 nucleotides) under uncultured fungus. RNAcentral's name for it is "SSU rRNA". It matches the Rfam family "Eukaryotic small subunit ribosomal RNA", at positions 248 to 686 of the family's 1831-position model. Lineage: Eukaryota; Fungi. The record is from RNAcentral.